RNAcentral lists this long non-coding RNA (1064 nucleotides) under Canis lupus familiaris (dog). Its description in RNAcentral is "lncRNA (ENSCAFG00030020621.1)". The record is from RNAcentral. Lineage: Eukaryota; Metazoa; Chordata; Mammalia; Carnivora; Canidae.
AUGAGCAAGACAGACAAAACCCUGCCCUUGAGAACUUCCAGUGGGGAAAGACCAGCAAAAUCAAGAGGAGUGCUACGGUGCUUUUCCUGUGAGUUCCUGGCUUUCCAAUACAGAGUUCCGUAUUUAUUGGGAUUAAAGAAGGUAUUUAGUUUGUCAGGUGGUGCCUUCAAGGAAGCGAAGGGGGUGCGGUUCACAGGAAGAAAUGAGCCCAAAGGAGACUGCCAAUUACUGCACCUGUCAGUGUUCAACAACAGAUAAAAUUAAUUCAGAAACCCAAACAGUCUGCAGAAAACCGAACACAAUUAUCUAAGAAAUUAAGUUAUACCGUCGCUAUGACCUUUAAUCAAUCAUCCAACCGUUAAUGUUAAUUUUGUGAUCUAAAAAUCAUAGUUCUAUUUGCAUUUUAAUGGCUGCUAAAUGAGUGUCAUCAGGAAGAAAUAAUGGCAGGGUGGCCUUUUGCUACAAAUUCUUCCUUCCUAAUGGUAAUGCGGAAAGCUAGGAAACGGUGUUUGGAAAAGGUUUUGUUUCGCCUUCCAGCAGAUGUAUGGAGCUGCCCUUCUCAAAUGAAAAAACAAGCAAUUCCCCACAAAUACCACCACCUGUUGUUAUAAAUAAAUCCAAGCUGUAAAAUGGAACUCAGGCUUAAUGGCAAAAUCAUUACGGGCAUCCUACCCCCCUCCUGCCAACCGUUCAUUACGGCCUCGUAACCACUUGUUUCUCAGUCAUGUACCUUUUUAAGCUUCCGACUGGCCAUCAGGCACCAUCCCUAACCAGGAGAGAUGGCCUGUGGAUUUGUGGCUAAAAAUAUAAAGUUACCCACCUCGGGGAGAAUGAUCACAUGUCGUGUGCCUGGUUUAAAUGGCUAGAAACUGGCUACAUGCCACUCCAUAUUUAGGUUUUCCUUUAAAUCUUAAUCCAGACAUCCAGUGGCGUAUUUCACAGCUAAUGAACCUAACCUUCAAGUAGGAGCAUAAAAUCCUAAUUAAAUCAGGGCAUCGUGAGGUUAUUGGCAGGCUGUUUAUAAUUUGGCAGACUCUUGCUUCUAUGAGUAGUUAUAGGAAAAU